This 496-nucleotide ribosomal RNA is filed under the name uncultured bacterium. RNAcentral's name for it is "partial 16S ribosomal RNA". It matches the Rfam family "Bacterial small subunit ribosomal RNA", at positions 29 to 507 of the family's 1533-position model. The record is from RNAcentral.
AUGAACGCUGGCGGCGUGCCUAAUACAUGCAAGUCGAGCGAACGGACGAGAAGCUUGCUUUUCUGAUGUUAGCGGCGGGCGGGUGAGUAACACGUGGAUAACCUACCUAUAAGACUGGGAUAACUUCGGGAAACCGGAGCUAAUACCGGAUAAUAUUUUGAACCGCAUGGUUCAAAAGUGAAAGACGGUCUUGCUGUCACUUAUAGAUGGAUCCGCGCUGCAUUAGCUAGUUGGUAAGGUAACGGCUUACCAAGGCAACGAUGCAUAGCCGACCUGAGAGGGUGAUCGGCCACACUGGAACUGAGACACGGUCCAGACUCCUACGGGAGGCAGCAGUAGGGAAUCUUCCGCAAUGGGCGAAAGCCUGACGGAGCAACGCCGCGUGAGCGAUGAAGGUCUUCGGAUCGUAAAACUCUGUUAUUAGGGAAGAACAUAUGUGUAAGUAACUGUGCACAUCUUGACGGUACCUAAUCAGAAAGCCACGGCUAACUACGUG